Molecule: non-coding RNA, 3359 nt
Organism: Rattus norvegicus (Norway rat)
Lineage: Eukaryota; Metazoa; Chordata; Mammalia; Rodentia; Muridae
Source: RefSeq, a predicted model, not a curated record
AGGCCGAGAACAUCUGGCCAAAAACAGUAUGUUCACAUAUGUUCAUUAUGAUGGCCUUUCUGUUUGGAUAGGAAGGUGUCCUAAGUCUCAGAGGCCCAGGAACCACAAAGCUCUGAAGGGUGAAGGGUAAUGGAAGGGUACCCCGAGACAUGAGGGCCCAGGAACCAAGCAGCUUUGAGGUGGGAGAGUGCCCCAAUGGAAGGGCAUCCUGAGACAUUGGUGCCCAGGAACCACAUAGCUGUAAAAGGAAGUCUCCUCAGCAGAGGUGUUGCAGCUCCCAGGGGUUCGGUAUCCCCAGCUGAGCUCAGGAGCUCAGGAGCCUCAGCCUGGCUCCUUCUCUUCUUCCCUUCUUCUCACCAUUGCUUCUUGUCUUCUUCCAAUGAGAGAGUCACAUGAGGCAGCAAAUCUCAUGAGAGAGAUUUAGUUAUUGGAGGGUCCAGGAUGUAGAGGGGCGAAUCCAGGAGUGGCGGUCUACACUCACAGGAGGAAGCAGACAGCAGCAGCAGGGAUUUGGGCAAAGCAAGGUGCUUAUACAGGGGUUCUUGUGGUGGGGGGAGGGGUCCUAAAGUGAAGAUUUCCACAGGGAGGAUUGUUGGGAUUUCAAGUGCUGAGCUGAGGGAGCUCAGGGAUUGGUGGACUUUCCUGUACAGGGAAUGGUGGGUUUUUGAGCUCAGGGAUUGGUGGGUUUCUGUGGAAAAUUCAGACGCCUAUUCAUGGCUUUUGUUCAGACUUUUCACCUAAAAUUAACAUAACCUAGGGGUGGGUCCUGUUGAGGGGCUAGAGAUGACCUUAGGACAGUUAGGGAACUCUCGGGGAGGGGGACCUGCCCACUUUCCUACCUUGAGGGUUUACAAAGUUUUGGUGAAUCCAUGGCAGAGAAGACCUUCCCUGCCCCUUCAGUGGCCUGAAUAACCGACAACCAGUCUAAUCAUACAGUCAGUCUUUUAGCCCAUCCCUUCCCUUUUAGAAAUAAGGAAAUUGAGGAUUAGAAAGAUUAAAUCAUUUGCACAGUCAGCAGGGAUUCAAACUCCUGGGGCCCAAGUCCUUAAAACUCAUUUAUGCCUAAAUCAGUAAGCGACCUAGACAGAAAAUAGAACAUCUUAGCUUCUGCCUGUAAUCUCAGACUUAGGAGGCUGAGGCAGAAGGAUGACAAAGCCGAGGCCAGCCUGGACUACAUAGUGGCAGCCUCAUUUUUAAAAAAAAAAAAAAAGAAGAAGACAUUAGCCAGGUGGAGAUGGUACAUGGCUUUAAUUGUAUCACUUGAGAGAGGCAAGCAGGUCCCUUAAGUUUGAGGCCAGCCUGGUCUACAGAGAGAGUUCUAGGGCAGCCAGGGCUACACAGAGAAAUGCUGUGUUGUCUUGGAAUUAAUUAAUUAAUAAUUAAUUAAUGGAAGGAAGAAAGAGAUGUGAUAGAAGAGAUUUUUUAAUAACCAUUGCUUUGAACAAUUUGAAAUUUCAAAUGUAAAUAUGAAGAGAUUAAGAUCUAACCCAUCACCCUUGACAGCUAGCUUUAACAUUUCUAUAUAACUUCAUCUGGUCUCCUCAGAGCUUCCCGACUAAGGACUUCUUAAAACAAAUUACGCUUUUAUAAAUAUUUCAUUAUGUGCCCUUUUGAAAAGGGGAUUGUUUUUAAAGAGUGGUUUUAAUGUCCUCUCUAAUUAACAUGUAGCUCAUUUAGAAACUUAAACACUUCAAUCUUUUUAUUAGCAUAUAGUAAUUAUAUGCAAUAGAUUUCAUUAAAUCUCCAUAUCUGCUUCCAUAUUCACCCCAUUACUCUUUUGUCUCCCUCCCACUCCCAAUAAUUCCAUUUUCGUUAUAUGUAUUAAUAUCAAAUUUUAUUUUUUUUAAUUUUUACACUCCAGAUUUUAUUCCCCUCCCAGUCCACCAUCUGCCAAAUUUUUUUCUUUUAAGAACUGCAGUUGUGUGAAACUAUACAAGUAACCUCGUGUACUUCUUUUUAUAGACCUAAAGAUUUGAAGCUCUAAGUGGAGUGAAUCUGAGGUCCUGUUUGACAUGCCAAUUCUGUACACAGAUUUUAUAAGUAAACAAUCAAAGAAAUUAAUUCACAUUUUAAUGUGCUGGGUGUUGCGGCUGCCAUAAUGACUUGGGGGGUCCAACAGGCAUUGAGUGAGUGACUGUGGAAACUCUACAUUGCUUCAGAAGGUCUGAUAGAACAUUUCUCGUAUGCCAAGAUCAAUAGCAGCUCCCUACUGAGGAAGGUCCUGCCUGGCGUAAACAUUAUCUCAUUAUUUUCUUCCCCUUGUGCUUUAAAGUCUGUACAAACUUUGAAAGCACAAGAAACAAUGAAAUCAUACUUAAAAGACUCUAGGUAAAGAGAGUGAAUUGUCACCUAUGAGUCUCCUGGCAUGCCUAUGGCUCGCAUGUCUGCAAAUGAAGACGGAUAAUGGAGGCAUCCAUUGGGGGAGCAGGGAAAAAGGAGACACAGAGAGGCAGACUGGGGUUGUGAGGCUAUGGAACACAGAACAUCCUUGGCAAUACUGGAAAUACAUAGUAAUUACCAGAAUCCCAGGACCGCCAGCAUCAUAGCAACUAUAGCCAGUGUCCAUCCAUGCAUGUGCAGAACGGUACUGAUGCCUGUCCACACCAGGCUGGUCAUGGAGAGCCAAGAGUUGUUGUUGGCAUCCUGUGAGUUACUAGGGAAUGACUACUACAUCAUUCUCAUUAGCUGACAAUGGCCAUCUCUAGAAGAAGAGAAGCAAAGCACAAAACCUCAAGCAUGAAUUCAGGAGCCGUCAACCAUUAGCAAGACAUUUCUUGGGCCUUCAAAGACUAGUAACCUGAUAGAAAUUGCCAACCAUAACACACACACACACACACACACACACACACACACACACACACACACGAUUCUCAGGACUGGAUACCUAAGACUGACCCUAAUCACUCUUUCUGAGCCUUCUGGUGGUUUUUCAUUUGUUAGUUUGUAUGCGUCUUUUUUGUUUGGUUGCUUGUUUUGGGGGUUGUUUGUUUGUUUGUUUUUGUUUUUUUAAAUCUCAUAACAAGACUCAGUUGACAGGACUUUGAAUGGAACAAAAUAUUAAAAUCUCUUUGUCUGAGUUUUUUAUCCUGCUGAAAGUAGGUUGGUCUCUUCUUAGGGGAAGCGUACCAAACACUCAUGGCAUUUUCCAGCCAGCAGUAGGAACAGACACCCAGAGAAGCAUGCAGAUGUUCAAGAAAGGAAAGGUGACCUAGUGGCUGUCAGUAUGCUACAGGAUGUAAAGCUCGCAGCUACUGCUUCAGCACCAAGUCUGUCUGCUCCCCUGCAUGACGAUCAUUUAAUGUCCUGAACCUCCGGAACUGUAAGCAAGCCCAAGAUUAAAUGAUUUCUUCUUAUAAAAA